CGCUGCGGUAGCUCAGUGGUAGAGCACGCAAGUCGAGAAGUGAUGAGCCUUGCAAAUGCGGGUUCGAUCCCCGCCGUAGAGG
Halocaridina rubra (Hawaiian volcano shrimp) is the source of this 82-nucleotide non-coding RNA. NCBI's taxonomy places the organism in Eukaryota, Metazoa, Arthropoda, Malacostraca, Decapoda, Atyidae. The record is from the annotation of a GenBank genome assembly.